Vigna radiata var. radiata (mung bean) is the source of this 444-nucleotide long non-coding RNA. RefSeq lists it as uncharacterized. Lineage: Eukaryota; Viridiplantae; Streptophyta; Magnoliopsida; Fabales; Fabaceae. The record is from RefSeq and is a predicted model, not a curated record. The transcript has 2 exons.
ACUAGAUAGUGUACAGUAUAUAAGAUAAUAGAGAUAUAGAUUCAAAUCAUAAUGGUUUUUGAAAAUUGAAAAUAGGGAUCGAAAAGAGAGAGAGAGAAGGGGGACCGCCAUGAAAGGAAGGAGAGUGGUCCGAUGGUUGGUUCAUCCAUGUCUCCUACUUCUUUGUCUUCGCAGUUCUGCAUUUUGAAUUUAGUUUCAUCGAGAGUGAUGUAGCUUUGAGCAGAUAUGUUUUGUGUUGGACCAACACCACCAAACUCAACUACAAAUCAACCUCUAUGCAGGCUUCAAACACUUUCCAUAGCCUCUUCUCACCUAACAUUGUGGAUUUCCAUUCAUCUCUACACUUAUUGUCUCAUACCUCUCUCCUUUCGUCUGUAACUUCUCAACUAUUUACCGUUUUGUUACUGUUUGAUAUAUAUAUACAAAAAACUGAAAUUAAAUAAA